UACGGAGGGUGCAAACGUUGCUCGGAAUCACUGGGCGUAAAGCGCACGUAGGCGGCCUUGUAAGUUGGAUGUGAAAGCCCUGGGCUCAACCCAGGAAGUGCAUCCAAAACUGCAUGGCUUGAGUACCGGAGGGGUUCAGAGAAUUCCCGGUGUAGAGGUGAAAUUCGUAGAUAUCGGGAGGAAUACCAGUGGCGAAGGCGCUGAACUGGACGGUAACUGACGCUGAGGUGCGAAAGCGUGGGGAGCGAACAGG
This 253-nucleotide ribosomal RNA is filed under the name uncultured bacterium. RNAcentral's name for it is "partial 16S ribosomal RNA". It matches the Rfam family "Bacterial small subunit ribosomal RNA", at positions 524 to 776 of the family's 1533-position model. The record is from RNAcentral.